This 497-nucleotide ribosomal RNA is filed under the name uncultured bacterium. RNAcentral describes it as "partial 16S ribosomal RNA". It matches the Rfam family "Bacterial small subunit ribosomal RNA", at positions 28 to 507 of the family's 1533-position model. The record is from RNAcentral.
GAUGAACGCUGGCGGCGUGCCUAAUACAUGCAAGUCGAGCGAGCAGACGAGGAGCUUGCUCCUCUGACGUUAGCGGCGGACGGGUGAGUAACACGUGGAUAACCUACCUAUAAGACUGGGAUAACUUCGGGAAACCGGAGCUAAUACCGGAUCAUAUAUUGAACCGCAUGGUUCAAUAGUGAAAGACGGCUUUGCUGUCACUUAUAGAUGGAUCCGCGCCGCAUUAGCUAGUUGGUAAGGUAACGGCUUACCAAGGCAACGAUGCGUAGCCGACCUGAGAGGGUGAUCGGCCACACUGGAACUGAGACACGGUCCAGACUCCUACGGGAGGCAGCAGUAGGGAAUCUUCCGCAAUGGGCGAAAGCUUGACGCAGCAACGCCGCGUGAGUGAUGAAGGUCUUCGGAUCGUAAAACUCUGUUAUUAGGGAAGAACAAAUGUGUAAGUAACUAUGCACGUCUUGACGGUACCUAAUCAGAAAGCCACGGCUAACUACGUG